UACGUAGGGGGCAAGCGUUGUCCGGAUUUACUGGGCGUAAAGGGCGUGCAGGCGGUCUGUUAAGUGCAGGGUGAAAGCUCCCGGCUCAACUGGGAGAGGUCCUUGCAUACUGGCGGACUUGAGGGGGGUAGAGGAAAGUGGAAUUCCCGGUGUAGUGGUGAUAUGCGUAGAUAUCGGGAGGAACACCUGUGGCGAAGGCGGCUUUAUGGGCCCUACCUGACGCUGAGACGCGAAAGCGUGGGGAGCGAACCGG
This 253-nucleotide ribosomal RNA is filed under the name uncultured bacterium. RNAcentral describes it as "partial 16S ribosomal RNA". It matches the Rfam family "Bacterial small subunit ribosomal RNA", at positions 524 to 776 of the family's 1533-position model. The record is from RNAcentral.